This 631-nucleotide long non-coding RNA is filed under the name Salvia miltiorrhiza (redroot sage). RNAcentral describes it as "long non-coding RNA (SMIL_LNC013770)". The record is from RNAcentral. Lineage: Eukaryota; Viridiplantae; Streptophyta; Magnoliopsida; Lamiales; Lamiaceae.
AUCGAAAGAAGGUGAGUUCCGAAAAAACCCUUGUUCAUGACACUGUGAAAUUUCGAAUAUAUUGAAACAGAUCUGAAAUUUGUUAGCUUUUUUUGGAAAAAUUCGAUUGUAAUUGCCGACAUUAACUUUCGAAUAGGAGAUCUAGGUUUUUAUAUGAAGAAACCAAAGAUUUGUUUUAUAUGGUGAUGUUUGAUAUGAAUUUAAAGUAUUAGAUUAGUAUUGAGGGUCCCAUAACUUUCGAACGUUAUAUUCAUUUAGAAAUUAUUUUUUGUUCAUUGAAAAAGUUUGAUUGUUCAUUACAUAUUCAAGAAUUUGGGUUUGAAACCGAGUGAUUUCUGCGUUUGAGUGGAAGGGUUGAGUUCUUGAAGGAUGAGUUGGAGAGGUUGGUCGGUGGAUAUGUCUUGGGCUGCAGCUCUGUUGAUCACAAUCCAGUUUAAGAAGAUGGAAAGAGAGUUCUGGACCUUCUGGUUGGCACCUGCAUUUGGAGGCCAAAUUUUACAAUAAAAUAUAUAUAUUCACUUUAUAAAAAAAAAUUGUAUUCUAUUCAAUAAAAAUUAUGUUAUGUUCAUUGUAAAAUUGAGAUUAUUCGUUAUAUAAUAUAUUUAUGAAUGGUAUACUUUAUUUUUAUCUA